This 77-nucleotide transfer RNA is filed under the name Kitasatospora herbaricolor. RNAcentral's name for it is "tRNA-Arg". The record is from RNAcentral. Lineage: Bacteria; Bacillati; Actinomycetota; Actinomycetes; Kitasatosporales; Streptomycetaceae.
AGCCGCGCUGGAGCGGGAGUUCGCGGUGCUGCGGUCGGCGCCCGGGGUGCGGGGGAUCGAGGUCUUCCGCUGCACCC